AGCAGCCGCGGUAAUUCCAGCUCCAAUAGCGUAUAUUAAAGUUGUUGCAGUUAAAAAGCUCGUAGUUGAAUUUCGGGAUCAGUGGGUCGGUCGUGCCACUGGUAUGUACUGGCCCUACUGGUUCCUCCUUCUUGAAGAACUGUAAUGCCAUUAAUUUGGUGUUGCAGGGGAAACAGGACUGUUACUUUGAAAAAAUUAGAGUGUUUAAAGCAGGCAAUCGCUUGAAUACAUUAGCAUGGAAUAAUGAAAUAGGACGUUCGAUCCUAUUUUGUUGGUUUCUAGGAUUGACGUAAUGAUUAAUAGGGAUAGUUGGGGGCAUUAGUAUUCAAUUGUCAGAGGUGAAAUUCUUGGAUUUAUUGAAGACUAACUACUGCGAAAGCAUUUGCCAAGGAUGUUUUCAUUAAUCAAGAACGAAAGUUAGGGGAUCGAAGACGAUCAGAUACCGUCGUAGUCUUAACCAUAAACUAUGCCGACUAGGGAUCGGAUGAUGUUAAUUUUUAAUGACUCAUUCGGCGCCUUA
This 520-nucleotide ribosomal RNA is filed under the name uncultured Glomus. Its description in RNAcentral is "SSU rRNA". It matches the Rfam family "Eukaryotic small subunit ribosomal RNA", at positions 569 to 1090 of the family's 1831-position model. Lineage: Eukaryota; Fungi; Glomeromycota; Glomeromycetes; Glomerales; Glomeraceae. The record is from RNAcentral.